UACGAAGGGGGCUAGCGUUGUUCGGAAUUACUGGGCGUAAAGCGCGCGUAGGCGGACUGAUAAGUCAGGGGUGAAAUCCCGGGGCUCAACCCCGGAACUGCCUUUGAUACUGUCGGUCUCGAGUUCGAGAGAGGUGAGCGGAAUUCCGAGUGUAGAGGUGAAAUUCGUAGAUAUUCGGAGGAACAACAGAAGCGAAGGCGGCUCUCUGGACCGCUACUGACGCUGAGGCGCGACAGCGUGGGGAGCAAACAGG
This 253-nucleotide ribosomal RNA is filed under the name uncultured bacterium. RNAcentral describes it as "partial 16S ribosomal RNA". It matches the Rfam family "Bacterial small subunit ribosomal RNA", at positions 524 to 776 of the family's 1533-position model. The record is from RNAcentral.